RNAcentral lists this ribosomal RNA (483 nucleotides) under uncultured bacterium. RNAcentral describes it as "partial 16S ribosomal RNA". It matches the Rfam family "Bacterial small subunit ribosomal RNA", at positions 28 to 507 of the family's 1533-position model. The record is from RNAcentral.
GACGAACGCUGGCGGCGUGCCUAACACAUGCAAGUCGAGCGGGGAUUUAAGUGGAAGUUCUUCGGAAUGGAGAUUUAAAUUCUAGCGGCGGACGGGUGAGUAACGCGUGAACACUCUGUCCCGGACAGGGGGAUAACACUUGGACACAGGUGCUAAUACCGCAUCAGACCACGGCCUCGCAUGGGGCUGAGGUACAAGGAGCAAUCCGGUUCGGGGUGAGUUCGCGUCCGAUUAGCUAGUUGGUGAGGUAACGGCCCACCAAGGCGACGAUCGGUAGCCGGCCUGAGAGGGGGAACGGCCACAUUGGAACUGAGAGACGGGCCAAACGCCUAAGGGAGGCAGCAGUGGGGAAUAGUGGGAAAUGGGCGAAAGCCUGACCAAGCAACGCCGCGUGAGGGAAGAAGGUUUUCGGAGUGUAAAACUCUGUCCUAUGGGACGAAGGAAGUGACGGUACCAUAGGAGGAAGCCCCGGCUAACUACGUG